Molecule: long non-coding RNA, 1350 nt
Organism: Raphanus sativus (radish)
Lineage: Eukaryota; Viridiplantae; Streptophyta; Magnoliopsida; Brassicales; Brassicaceae
Exons: 4
Source: RefSeq, a predicted model, not a curated record
CCAUCUCCCACUUUUAAUUUUCUUUAAUCUCCAAUAUUACUGCCUCAAUCCAAAGCUUUGAAACUGUUGCUUUUCCCUCAUCACAUCACAGCACUCUAUAUAUACCUUCUUCAUGCUUAUACGUUCCUUCAAUCAACAUUGUCUCUCCUUUACAAAUUCGAUUAUAUAUGUUUUUUUUGUCAACUUUCUGUGAUAUUUAAAGUUUUGAUUUAGAGUUUUGGUAGUCCGUGUGAAUGUAUUAAUUUCAUAUAUUUUUGUAUGAUUCGUUAGGCAAAACAAGGCUGCAAGUGCUGGGUGAAAUUGUACCAGGAAGUGAAGGAGCUGAGGGAAAUCACUGAUGAUGAUCGGUAGCUAUACUGGUUUAGGAAGAAGCUGUCAAAACAGAACAAGCACGCCAAGGAGCUUGAGGAAUCUCUGGGACUUUUGAGCGAGAAGCUGUGUAAAACUGCAGAAGGUUACCGUGUUGUGUGUGAAAGAGAGGGAAGAUGCAGCAUGCGCAGAACAAAUAAGAGGGCUUAGGAGUUCUCUAGCUUCAUAGAGUUUCAAGAGAAAGAGAUGAAAACGUUUAUGGAGAAGAGGGAGGGGGAGAGGUAGAAGAAGAUAUAAUUCGAGGAGAUGCUUGAGCUAGAGAGGGAAUUUGAUGUCAUUGGAGCUGUUCAUGAACAAGAACGACCUUCACGAUGCAGAUGACGCACACUUGCUUUCAUGUUGUGCUUUUGGUAUUGAAUCUAAGGAGAUUCGAGGAAGACUAUCAUUCUCAAUUUUAGAGUAGCAAAUUCGGUAUAGAAAGCUGGUUAACCAAAGGAAGAAGAUGACCCGCAACUGCCAUUGCUGAAACCUCUGCUAAAAUUGGUUUGCGUCUUACGGAUUAUGUUGUUGGUUCUGGAUCAGGCUUUCAGCGUCACACUGACCCAUCUUUGUUGGAAACGCUUACUGCAUCAGGAGUAUUAGCAACAUCUAAACUCAGCAAAGAUAAGAGACCACGUAAAAAAGCUACUCAUGUAAUACAUUUUUAUUAUUCUCAAAUUUACUUUACCUCACAUUCCCAUUGUCUGUCCACAACAAGCAUCUGAAAUGCACAUUUUAGGGAUAUUUUGUGUUACAUAUGACCAAGUAUUUUAUCAACAGAAGAAAGUAUCACACGAGUAAUGGAGAGGCUUGGGGAUUCACAAACAUCCCAUGCUAAGUUGCAUCAGCCGAUAUAAAAUUCUUGAGGGCAAGUUCUAUGUAAUGGAUAUUUGGAAAGAGACUAGAAAGUUUAUUAAGGGACUCACAAUUUUCAACGAAAUUCACAAAAUUGAUGUAAAAAAGAACUAAUAUCAAAUGAAAAUAUAUUAUUUAUAGGCUAUA